RNAcentral lists this ribosomal RNA (3705 nucleotides) under Caldifarciminota bacterium. RNAcentral describes it as "23S ribosomal RNA". It matches the Rfam family "Bacterial large subunit ribosomal RNA". Lineage: Bacteria; Pseudomonadati; Caldifarciminota. The record is from RNAcentral.
CCAAGUUACUAAGGACGUAUGGUGGAUGCCUUGGUAUCUGGAGGCGAUGAAGGCCGUGGUAGGCUGCGUUAAGCGUCGGAUAGGUGCGAACAACCUUUGACCCGGCGAUUGCCGAAUGGGGAAACCCUUCCCGUUGAGAGACGGGAAAUCCUCUGUCUCUGGCAGAGGAGGCCAACCAAGGGAAGUGACACAUCUCAGUACCUUGAGGAAAAGAUAUUCCGAAAGUAGCGGCGAGCGAAAUCGGAACAGCCCAAACCGAGCUGUAUGUUCAAGCGGGCAAGCGUUGUACAGCCGGUGUAGUGGGGUUCAGUCGAACCUGAGUGCCCUGAGGGUUGUGAAGUUACAAAAUCUUGGAAUAGUUGAAAUCUCCUGGAAAGGGAUACCAUAGAUGGUGAUAGUCCAGUAGACGAAAUUCCCAAGAUCUUCACUGACUGAAUUCCCAAGUACUGCGAGGAAGGUGAAACCUCGUGGGAAUCUGCCCAAACCACUGGGUAAGGCUAAAUACUCCCAGAUAACCGAUAGUGAACUAGUACCGUGAGGGAAAGGUGAAAAGAACCCCUGGCGGGGAGUGAAAUAGAACCUGAAACUAUACGUCUACAAUCAGCAGGAGUUUUGAUCCCCUGGAAGCAAUUCCGGGGGGCAAUCAGAAUGACUGCGUGCCUUUUGCAUAAUGAGCCGGCGAGUUACCCUGACCUGCAAGCUUAAUCCUGCUACGAAAGUAUCAGGAGGAGGCGUAGGGAAACCGAGUCUGAACAGGGCGACUUAGUAGGUUGGGAUAUUACCCGAAACCCAGUGAGCUACCCAUGGUCAGGAUGAAAUUCCGGUGACACGGAAUGGAGGUCCGAACCGGUGGAUGUUGAAAUAUCUUCGGAUGAACUGUGGGUAGGAGUGAAAGGCUAACCAAACUGGGUGAUAUCUGGUUCUCCCCGAAAUGUCUUUAGGGACAGUCUUGGAUGUUCAGUAGUAGUGGUAGAGCUCUGAUCCGAGGAGGACCCUUCGGGGUUCAAAUCCAGUCAAACUUCGAAUGCUACUACUUAUAAGUCCAGGAAUGAGGCAGUGGGGGAUAAGCUCCAUUGCCGAGAGGGGAAUAACCCUGACCGCCAGCUAAGGUCCCUAAGAAUUGAUUAAGUGGUAAAGGAUGUAAAGUGACUUAAACACCUGGGAUGUUGGCUCAGAGGCAGCCAUCAUUUAAAGAGUGCGUAACAGCUCACCAGCCGAGCCACUUUGCGCCGAAAAUAUACCGGGGCUCAAAUCAAUCACCGAAGCUGCGGUUCUUACAUCUAUUCGUAGGUGUAAGGAGGUAGGGGAGCGUUCCAUGUUAGGUUGAAGUUUCGACGCGAGUCGGAAUCGACGAAAUGGAAGUGAUCAUGCCGGCAUAAGUAGCGAUAAUCGCGGUGAAAAACCGAGACACCGUAAGCCCAAGGUUUCCUGGGGAAGGUUAAUCCGCCCAGGGUUAGUCGGUGCCUUAGCUGAGGCCGAAAGGCGUAGGCGAUGGGAAAGCCGUUAAUAUUCGGCUACCGUCUUGGUUUCGUUAUGAACUAUGGGGGGACGCUGAUGGUAGAAGCGAGUCCUGUGUUGGAAUACAGGAUCUAAGCACUUCAAGGGAGAUGCCAGGAAAAUCCAGUGUCUCUUAACCUUGAUGUGUGAUGGGGAGACCCAAAAGGUCACAAACUCGCUUCGAGAUUCAGCCGAGAAAAGCCUCUAUGUCAGAAAUCAGGAUGACCGUACCGGAAACGGACACACGUGGGCGAGGUGAAUAUCCUAAGGUGCUCGGGAGAACCCUCGUUAAGGAACUCGGCAAGUUAACCCCGUAACUUCGGGAGAAGGGGUCCCUGUUAUGAUGAAUAGCAGGGCGCAGUGAAAGGGCUCUAGCGACUGUUUAACAAAAACACAGGUCUCUGCUAAGCCGUAAGGCAAAGUAUAGGGACUGACACCUGCCCGGUGCCAGAAGGUUAAAGAAGGUUGUUAGUCCCGGGAUGGACUUCGGUUUAGCCCGGGAUCAUGCUUCCGACUGAAGCCCUGGCAAACGGCGGCCGUAACUCUAACGGUCCUAAGGUAGCAACAGCUGCCUGAACUCGGCUGUAUGCGGGAAAAUCCUUAGAGCCUUGACUACGAAGCUGGUAGACAUCAGCCCGUAAAAAUGUCAAGGAUUGGAUAAUCCGCAGGAAAUUCUAUAAAAAGAAGAUCCUCAGAGGCCAUACGCUGAGCAUUUAGUUCCUUAGGAGGUAUUAUGAAGAUCAGUGACGAUUGGAUUAUAGGUUUUGUUGAUGGAGAAGGAUGUUUCCAUGUUUCGAUUCUCAGACAUCCAGAGAUGACAACAGGAUAUCAAGUGCUUCCUGAAUUUACAGUUGUCCAACACGAACGGGAUAAACAAAUUCUUUACGCAUUAAAAGCGUUUUUCAAAUGCGGUGUAGUACGACGAAACCAUGGCGACAGAUGGUGUUUUCGAAUUCGGAAACUCAAUUGUCUCGAAUCUCUUUGCGACUUCUUUGAGAGGCAUCCGUUGAAGACGAAGAAAAACGUUGAUUUCAGAAAGUUCAGACGGAUUAUUCAAUGCAUGAAGCGAAGAGAACAUCUCACCACCGACGGUCUGGUAAAGAUUAUUAAAACAGCCAUGACAAUGAAUACUGCUGAACGAAAAAGGCUUCUUCAAAUUAAACAAAAUCUGGGAAUUAAGUGAAGAGAUGGUCCACACCAUAACGAAAGUUAUGGAAUAUGUGAGCGAAAUUCCUUGGCGGGUAAGUUCCGUCCUGCACGAAUGGUGUAACGACUAGAGCGCUGUCUCAACGAGGGACCCGGCGAAAUUGAAGUGGCGGUGAAGAUGCCGCCUACCCGUGAUAGGACAAAAAGACCCCGUGAACCUUUACUGCAGCUUGCUAUUGGAUUUUUGUAAAGCAUGUGUAGCAUAGGUGGGAGGCGUUGAGAUCCCGGCGCCAGCCGGGAUGGAGCCGUCAGUGAAAUACCACCCUUGCUUUAUCAGAGGUUCUAAUCUGCCGUGUGGAGCGGCGGAGACAGUGGCAGGUGGGCAGUUUGACUGGGGCGGUCUCCUCCUAAAAUGUAACGGAGGAGCCCAAAGGUUCCCUCAGUCCGGUCGGUAAUCGGACAGUGAGUGCAAGGGCACAAGGGAGCCUGACUGUGAGGCCGACGGGCCGAGCAGAGCGGAAACGCGGGCCUAGUGAUCUGGUGGUUCCGUGUGGAAGGGCCAUCACUCAACGGAUAAAAGGUACUCCGGGGAUAACAGGCUGAUCGGGCUCGAGAGUUCAUAUCGACGGCCCGGUUUGGCACCUCGAUGUCGGCUCAUCGCAUCCUGGGGCUGGACAAGGUCCCAAGGGUUGGUCUGUUCGCCCAUUAAAGCGGUACGUGAGCUGGGUUCAGAACGUCGUGAGACAGUUCGGACUCUAUCCAUCACGGGCGUAGGAGACUUGAAGGGAGCUGUCCUUAGUACGAGAGGACCAGGAUGGACGGACCUCUGGUUUACGAGUUGUUGCGCCAGCAGCAGCGCUCGGUAGCUAUGUCCGGAAGGGAUAACCGCUGAAAGCAUCUAAGUGGGAAGCCCCCCCUAAGAUAAGGUCUCCCGUCCCGGCACUUUUUCGGAAGUGCUGGGCCACAAGACAACCUGGAGAUGACAGGUUUGAUAGGCCACAGGUGUAAGUGCAGUAAUGCAUUGAGCCGAGUGGUACUAAUCAGUCGAGCGACUUGGAUUUC